UUUCGAAUAAGAAAGGUUUCGUUUGAUUUUUAUUUUCAGGUGGAAACGAGUGUUGUCUUGGAAGCUAGGGUGGUUUUUUAUUUUUCUCCUUCUGGUUUUCACUUUGAGUUCAUCCAUAGAGAGAGAUACGAAGAUUUCCAACUUUCCCUUCUAAUUUUGUUCGUUCAUAUAAAAACAGAAACAAUGUAUUCCCAAGAUCUGACCAACGUCGUUUUCCCCCUCCCAUUUCUUUCUCUUAUCGAUUCUUUCUUCUUCUCAAAAAAUACAGAGAAAGGUUGGUUUAUUUGUCAUAAAACAACAUGGGUGAUAUGUUAGUGUCGAUCCAAUCAAUGAAAAAAGGUGUGAUACUAAAUCACUUCUAAACUUCUUCUCAUAUUUCUUGAUUAAAAUGAUAUGAAUUGCUAUUUUGGCAGCUUUUAUUUGUAGUUUUUUUUAGAAAUUUUGUAGAUGAAGAGCCGAUUGUAGAAAUGUGACAUCCACAAUAAAAAUAUUAGGUAAUGAUGCGACCACACCAAAUCAAUGAUUACAUAAAGUGACAUAUCUCAUCGUUACGUAACAAUGGAUUUAACGAUACGAUAAAAUAAAAUUUAAGUAACAAUCAAAAUAAAUAUUAUAUUAGAGUAACAAUACGAUACAAUACAAUAGGUAAUAUCCAUGCAAACAAACUGCUAAUCUCAAUAUGUAAGUAUAUUAACUAAAAGUUAUAUUCGAGUAUAAAAUAAGCUUUAAGUUUUUGAAAUUGAUGCAUAUUGAUCUUAUAUAUAGCUAACUUAAUAGAGGAAGAAAUUAUACCUAUUAAAUUCUUCAAUCAUCAUUCAAUAUGUUCAAAUUAAACUUAGAUCAAAUUCUGUAUAUUCAACUUUUCAGUUUAGCAAGAAUACUUAAUUUUUGAAGAUCUAAGAGUUUUUUCUAAAAAAAAAGUGAAAAGCUAUUUUCAAGUUUUGUUUUUGGUAAAAAGAUAUAUAUUUUAUAUAUAAUAAUAAGCUUACAAAGAGUUGUCCAGGAGAUGCAUUAUAGGCAUCAGAUUUACAUCAGUGCUAGUCGAAGUCCCACUAGGGCUAACAAAACUAGAGCUAAACAAGCUAUCAUACUAUUUACAGUACUACUACUAUUGCCUAAACUAUUACUAGUAUGAAAAUUCUUCAACAUUCUUUUCCGUAGUACUCCUUGUUGAUCUUGGCAAAAGGUGGAUGUCACAAAAGGUGGUGGUGUAUGAACAUGAGUCAAACUUCCCCAGUACACAUAGCUCCAUGAUUUGCUAGUAAAUCAGCCACACAGUUUUGUUCUCGAUACACAACCAUAAGAGGAAGGCUGUCCAACUAUAUGAGUAUGUACCUGCAAUCAUUAAUUAAAUUAGCAUGGUGUAUAUUUGUGGAACUGAACAUACUAAUAAUAGCUUUUGCAUCCGUUUCAAUGUUCAUAGGCUAUAGAUUAUGUUGGACCGCAAUGGACAAGCCUUUCAGUAGAGCUAAGAGUUCCAUUUGAAGUGUUGUCCCUGGAAAUUUCCUGCAUACCCUAGUAUCCACUCUCCUUGAGUAUUGCGAAAUACUCUUCUUAUACCAUACUUACCUGUCUUCGUGGAACAAGAUCCAUCAAUGUUAAGUUUGUAUGUAAAAUUAGCGGGAGGGUGCCAUUUAAUAUAUAGAGGAAUUAUAUCCUUUUUAGUCUUAUAUUGUGUAAGAUGAUGAUAUUCUGCUGCUUUAUCAAUAAGUAAUUGAAUAUUAACUUGGCAAGGCUUGUGUUCUAAAGUAGUAUGAUUCCUUGUGAUCCAUAGUUCCCACAGACCAAAUGGUAUAAGAGUAGAGCCAGGGAUGCUAUAAGGAUUAUAAGUGAUUUUCUGUAAUAUAAAAAAAUUUAAUAUUGUUAAUCCAACUAUUUUCCUCCCCCUGUAUGACAAUAUUUUGUGUUGUAAUUUGUAGGUUAUGCCAAAGGAGUCUAGCAGGGGGCAUUCCAGAAAGAUAUGUUCCAAGGUUUCUGAAAAUGAGUAUUUGUUGCAAUCAUGCCUAUCUUGUUUAAGUAAAUGGUUGUUGGGAGUCUUCUAUGGCUAAGAAUUCAAAUAAAGUUUGCUAUUUUUGGAGGAAUUAAUAAUUUCCAGAUCCAACUUUACACUACCCAUGUGUGUACGUAUGAGCAUUAUUAGCUAACACAUGAUACAUGGAUUUGACUGAAAACUUCCCAUCUAUUGAAAGUCCCCAAUAAAUUUUGUCAAAAGUAAUAUUAUGUAUUGGUAAAU
This 2233-nucleotide long non-coding RNA is filed under the name Nicotiana benthamiana. RNAcentral's name for it is "long non-coding RNA (NBEN_LNC028383)". Lineage: Eukaryota; Viridiplantae; Streptophyta; Magnoliopsida; Solanales; Solanaceae. The record is from RNAcentral.